UACGUAGGGUGCAAGCGUUACUCGGAAUUACUGGGCGUAAAGCGUGCGCAGGCGGCUUUGCAAGACAGAUGUGAAAUCCCCGGGCUCAACCUGGGAACUGCAUUUGUGACUGCAUCGCUGGAGUGCGGCAGAGGGGGAUGGAAUUCCGCGUGUAGCAGUGAAAUGCGUAGAUAUGCGGAGGAACACCGAUGGCGAAGGCAAUCCCCUGGGCCUGCACUGACGCUCAUGCACGAAAGCGUGGGGAGCAAACAGG
Molecule: ribosomal RNA, 253 nt
Filed under: uncultured bacterium
Lineage: Bacteria
Description: partial 16S ribosomal RNA
Rfam family: Bacterial small subunit ribosomal RNA
Source: RNAcentral